This 699-nucleotide ribosomal RNA is filed under the name uncultured bacterium. Its description in RNAcentral is "bacterial SSU rRNA". It matches the Rfam family "Bacterial small subunit ribosomal RNA", at positions 62 to 756 of the family's 1533-position model. The record is from RNAcentral.
UCGAGCGGCAGCGCGGGGCAACCUGGUUGGCGAGCGGCGAACGGGUGAGUAAUGCAUCGGAACAUGUCCAUGUCGUGGGGGAUAGCCCGGCGAAAGCCGGAUUAAUACCGCAUACGCCCGAGAGGGGAAAGUGGGGGACCGCAAGGCCUCACGCGAUUGGGUUGGCCGAUGUCCGAUUAGCUAGUUGGCGGGGUAAGAGCCCACCAAGGCGAUGAUCGGUAGCUGGUCUGAGAGGAUGAUCAGCCACACUGGGACUGAGACACGGCCCAGACUCCUACGGGAGGCAGCAGUGGGGAAUUUUGGACAAUGGGGGCAACCCUGAUCCAGCCAUUCCGCGUGAGUGAAGAAGGCCUUCGGGUUGUAAAGCUCUUUUGUCCGGAACGAAACGGUGCAGGUGAAUAUCCUGCGCUACUGACGGUACCGGAAGAAUAAGCACCGGCUAACUACGUGCCAGCAGCCGCGGUAAUACGUAGGGUGCGAGCGUUAAUCGGAAUUACUGGGCGUAAAGCGUGCGCAGGCGGUUUUGUAAGCCAGAUGUGAAAUCCCCGGGCUUAACCUGGGAAUGGCAUUUGGGACUGCAAGGCUGGAGUGCGGCAGAGGAGACUGGAAUUCCUGGUGUAGCAGUGAAAUGCGUAGAUAUCAGGAGGAAUACCGAUGGCGAAGGCAGGUCUCUGGGCUGACACUGACGCUCAUGCACGA